CCUACGGGGGGCAGCAGUGGGGAAUAUUGGGCAAUGGGCGGAAGCCUGACCCAGCAACGCCGCGUGAAGGAAGAAGGCUUUCGGGUUGUAAACUUCUUUUCUCAGGGACGAAACAAGUGACGGUACCUGACGAAUAAGCCACGGCUAACUACGUGCCAGCAGCCGCGGUAAUACGUAGGUGGCAAGCGUUAUCCGGAUUUACUGGGUGUAAAGGGCGUGUAGGCGGGAAAGCAAGUCAGAUGUGAAAACCAUGGGCUCAACCUGUGGCCUGCUGUGGAAACUGUAUGUCUUGAGUGCAGGAGAGGCAGGCGGAAUUCCUAGUGUAGCGGUGAAAUGCGUAGAUAUUAGGAGGAACACCAGUGGCGAAGGCGGUCUGCUGGACAGCAACUGACGCUGAGGCGCGAAAGCGUGGGGAGCAAACAGGAUUAGAUACCCCUGUAGUC
This 443-nucleotide ribosomal RNA is filed under the name uncultured bacterium. Its description in RNAcentral is "partial 16S ribosomal RNA". It matches the Rfam family "Bacterial small subunit ribosomal RNA", at positions 338 to 795 of the family's 1533-position model. The record is from RNAcentral.